Molecule: ribosomal RNA, 468 nt
Filed under: uncultured bacterium
Lineage: Bacteria
Description: partial 16S ribosomal RNA
Rfam family: Bacterial small subunit ribosomal RNA
Source: RNAcentral
GACGAACGCUGGCGGCGUGCUUAACACAUGCAAGUCGAACGGAAAGGCCCUGCUUUUGUGGGGUGCUUGAGUGGCGAACGGGUGAGUAACAUGUGAGUAACCUGCCCUUGACUUUGGGAUAACUUCAGGUAAAUGGGGCUAAUACCGGAUAGGAGCUCAUGCUGCAUGGUGGGGGUUGGAAAGUUUCGGCGGUUGGGGAUGGACUCGCGGCUUAUCAGCUUGUUGGUGGGGUAGUGGCUUACCAAGGCUUUGACGGGUAGCCGGCCUGAGAGGGUGACCGGCCACAUUGGGACUGAGAUACGGCCCAUACUCCUACGGGAGGCAGCAGUGGGGAAUAUUGCACCAUGGGCGGAAGCCUGAUGCAGCAACGCCGCGUGCGGGAUGACGGCCCUCGGGUUGUAUACCGCUUUCGCCUGUGGCGAAGCGUGAGUGACGGUAAUGGGUACAGAAGCACCGGCUAACUACGUG